AAAAUAUAGUAAGCAUUAUCAAUCUCUUGGCAACCAUGAAGGCCAUUCUCAUUGCUUUUUUACUCUUUGCUUCUCUUUUCUUCUUUCCCACUUCAACUAUGGCUCGACAACUCAAGGAAGGUUCAUUUCAGACAGGAGACCCUACUAAGCCUGCUGUUAAGUGUUCUCCCGGUCAGGGUUAUAGAAAUUGCAUUCCAUCGAGAGCACCAACGCCACCAACAUCUCCAGCACCACCAUGCUCACCCUAUUCACGUCAUUGUUGAUCAAUAUCUAAAAGAUGCAAUAGCCGAAUGAAUUAAGUAUACUUUUACUUUCUGCUGAUGCCAUUAGCACUUGCUGUGUUAAACCAUGGAGCUACCAUCUCUGUCUUUUGCUUUAGAAUUUCCAGUGCUUUCACCCAAUAAUGAGUGUUUUCCGAGUUUGUUGAGAAAUAAAUGUUUGGCCUCUAGGCCAAUCCAAUAAAUAAGAACUUGAC
Vigna umbellata (rice bean) is the source of this 475-nucleotide non-coding RNA. The record is from RefSeq and is a predicted model, not a curated record. Lineage: Eukaryota; Viridiplantae; Streptophyta; Magnoliopsida; Fabales; Fabaceae.